RNAcentral lists this transfer RNA (74 nucleotides) under Billgrantia gudaonensis. RNAcentral's name for it is "Halomonas gudaonensis tRNA-Glu". It matches the Rfam family "tRNA". Rfam says of the family: Transfer RNA (tRNA) molecules are approximately 80 nucleotides in length. Their secondary structure includes four short double-helical elements and three loops (D, anti-codon, and T loops). The record is from RNAcentral. Lineage: Bacteria; Pseudomonadati; Pseudomonadota; Gammaproteobacteria; Oceanospirillales; Halomonadaceae.
GCGCCCAUAGCUCAACAACUGACAGAGCAACGGCCUUCUGCCGCGGGUUGCAGGUUCGAGUCCUGGGCGCGCCA